AAGGAUCAUUACCACACCUAAAAACUUUCCACGUGAACCGUUUCAACCCAAUAGUUGGGGGUCUUACUUGGCGGCGGCUGCUGGCUUUAUUGCUGGCGGCUACUGCUGGGCGAGCCCUAUCAAAAGGCGAGCGUUUGGACUUCGGUCUGAGCUAGUAGCUUUUUUAUUUUAAACCCUUUACUUAAUACUGAUUAUACUGUGGGGACGAAAGUCUCUGCUUUUAACUAGAUAGCAACUUUCAGCAGUGGAUGUCUAGGCUCGCACAUCGAUGAAGAACGCUGCGAACUGCGAUACGUAAUGCGAAUUGCAGGAUUCAGUGAGUCAUCGAAAUUUUGAACGCAUAUUGCACUUCCGGGUUAGUCCUGGAAGUAUGCCUGUAUCAGUGUCCGUACAACAAACUUGGCUUUCUUCCUUCCGUGUAGUCGGUGGAGGAGAUGCCAGAUGUGAAGUGUCUUGCGGUUGGUUUUCGGACCGACUGCGAGUCCUUUUAAAUGUACUAAACUGUACUUCUCUUUGCUCCAAAAGUGGUGGCAUUGCUGGUUGUGGACGCUGCUAUUGUAGCGAGUUGGCGACCGGUUUGUCUGCUGCGGCGUUAAUGGAGAAAUGCUCGAUUCGUGGUAUGGUUGGCUUCGGCUGAACAAUGCGCUUAUUGGGUGAUUUUCCUGCUGUGGCGUGAUGGACUGGUGAACCAUGGCUCUUU
Molecule: ribosomal RNA, 700 nt
Filed under: Phytophthora infestans (potato late blight agent)
Lineage: Eukaryota; Oomycota; Peronosporomycetes; Peronosporales; Peronosporaceae
Description: eukaryotic LSU rRNA
Rfam family: 5.8S ribosomal RNA (bases 234-388)
Source: RNAcentral